Molecule: unclassified non-coding RNA, 387 nt
Filed under: soil metagenome
Description: partial contains 5.8S ribosomal RNA, internal transcribed spacer 2, and large subunit ribosomal RNA
Rfam family: 5.8S ribosomal RNA (bases 1-120)
Source: RNAcentral
GAUGAAGAACGCAGCGAAAUGCGAUAAGUAAUGUGAAUUGCAGAAUUCAGUGAAUCAUCGAAUCUUUGAACGCACCUUGCACCCUUUGGUAUUCCGAAGGGUAUGCUCGUUUGAGUGUCAUUGUACUCUCACACUUCUAAUUCCUUUCGGGAUUGGGAGCGGUGGACUUGGGUGUUGCUGCUUUAGUUUUGGCUCACCUCAAAUAAGUUAGUGCAACUCUUGGUUGGACAUAGUACGGCGUGAUAAGUGUCUUCGCCGGCGCCUCUGUAAGGAGGGUGGCCGAUCGGGAGCUCUGUGCUUCAAACCGUCUUCGGACAAUCUUUGACAACUUGACCUCAAAUCGAGUAGGACUACCCGCUGAACUUAAGCAUAUCAAUAAGCGGAGGA